UACGAGGGGUCCAAGCGUUGUUCGGAAUCAUUGGGCGUAAAGCGGGUGUAGGUGGCUUUGUAAGUCAGGAGUGAAAUCCCCGAGCUUAACUUGGGAAGUGCUUUUGAAACUGCAAAGCUUGAGUGUGGGAGAGGAUCGUGGAAUUCCAGGUGUAGUGGUGAAAUACGUAGAUAUCUGGAGGAACACCGGUGGCGAAGGCGGCGAUCUGGCCCAACACUGACACUGAGACCCGAAAGCGUGGGGAUCAAACAGG
RNAcentral lists this ribosomal RNA (253 nucleotides) under uncultured bacterium. RNAcentral's name for it is "partial 16S ribosomal RNA". It matches the Rfam family "Bacterial small subunit ribosomal RNA", at positions 524 to 776 of the family's 1533-position model. The record is from RNAcentral.